Molecule: ribosomal RNA, 714 nt
Filed under: Bacillus sp. (in: firmicutes)
Lineage: Bacteria; Bacillati; Bacillota; Bacilli; Caryophanales; Bacillaceae
Description: bacterial SSU rRNA
Rfam family: Bacterial small subunit ribosomal RNA
Source: RNAcentral
GUGAACGCUGGCGGCGUGCCUAAUACAUGCAAGUCGAGCGAACUGAUUAGAAGCUUGCUUCUAUGACGUUAGCGGCGGACGGGUGAGUAACACGUGGGCAACCUGCCUGUAAGACUGGGAUAACUUCGGGAAACCGAAGCUAAUACCGGAUAGGAUCUUCUCCUUCAUGGGAGAUGAUUGAAAGAUGGUUUCGGCUAUCACUUACAGAUGGGCCCGCGGUGCAUUAGCUAGUUGGUGAGGUAACGGCUCACCAAGGCAACGAUGCAUAGCCGACCUGAGAGGGUGAUCGGCCACACUGGGACUGAGACACGGCCCAGACUCCUACGGGAGGCAGCAGUAGGGAAUCUUCCGCAAUGGACGAAAGUCUGACGGAGCAACGCCGCGUGAGUGAUGAAGGCUUUCGGGUCGUAAAACUCUGUUGUUAGGGAAGAACAAGUACAAGAGUAACUGCUCGUACCUUGACGGUACCUAACCAGAAAGCCACGGCUAACUACGUGCCAGCAGCCGCGGUAAUACGUAGGUGGCAAGCGUUAUCCGGAAUUAUUGGGCGUAAAGCGCGCGCAGGCGGUUUCUUAAGUCUGAUGUGAAAGCCCACGGCUCAACCGUGGAGGGUCAUUGGAAACUGGGGAACUUGAGUGCAGAAGAGAAAAGCGGAUUCCACGUGUAGCGGUGAAAUGCGUAGAGAUGUGGAGGAACACCAGUGGCGAAGGCGGC